CCUACGGGAGGCAGCAGUGGGGGAUAUUGCACAAUGGGGGGAACCCUGAUGCAGCGACGCCGCGUGGGUGAAGGAGUGCUUCUGCAUGUAAAGCCCUAUCGGCAGGGAAGAAGCACGACGUUACCUGACUCAGAAGCCCCGGCUAGCUACGUGCCAGCAGCCGCGGUCAUGCGUAGGUGGCGAGCGUUAUCCGGAUUCACUGGGUGUAAAGGGAGCGUAGACGGCCAUGCAAGCCAGGGGUGAAAGCCCGGGGCCCAACCCCGGGACUGCCCUUGGAACUGCAUGGCGGGAGUGCGGGAGGGGCAGGCGGAAUGCCUGGUGUAGCGGUGAAAUGCGUAGAUAUCAGGAGGAACACCGGCGGCGAAGGCGGCCUGCUGGACCGCGACUGACGUUGAGGCUCGAACGCGUGGGGAGCGAACAGGAUUAGAUACCCUGGUAGUC
RNAcentral lists this ribosomal RNA (441 nucleotides) under uncultured bacterium. RNAcentral's name for it is "partial 16S ribosomal RNA". It matches the Rfam family "Bacterial small subunit ribosomal RNA", at positions 338 to 795 of the family's 1533-position model. The record is from RNAcentral.